RNAcentral lists this ribosomal RNA (1343 nucleotides) under uncultured bacterium. RNAcentral's name for it is "16S ribosomal RNA". It matches the Rfam family "Bacterial small subunit ribosomal RNA", at positions 28 to 1378 of the family's 1533-position model. The record is from RNAcentral.
GACGAACGCUGGCGGCGUGCUUAACACAUGCAAGUCGAACGGAAAGGCCCUGCUUUUGUGGGGUGCUCGAGUGGCGAACGGGUGAGUAACACGUGAGUAACCUGCCCUUGACUUUGGGAUAACUUCAGGAAACUGGGGCUAAUACCGGAUAGGAGCUCCUGCUGCAUGGUGGGGGUUGGAAAGUUUCGGCGGUUGGGGAUGGACUCGCGGCUUAUCAGCUUGUUGGUGGGGUAGUGGCUUACCAAGGCUUUGACGGGUAGCCGGCCUGAGAGGGUGACCGGCCACAUUGGGACUGAGAUACGGCCCAGACUCCUACGGGAGGCAGCAGUGGGGAAUAUUGCACAAUGGGCGGAAGCCUGAUGCAGCAACGCCGCGUGCGGGAUGACGGCCUUCGGGUUGUAAACCGCUUUCGCCUGUGACGAAGCGUGAGUGACGGUAAUGGGUAAAGAAGCACCGGCUAACUACGUGCCAGCAGCCGCGGUGAUACGUAGGGUGCGAGCGUUGUCCGGAUUUAUUGGGCGUGAAGGGCUCGUAGGUGGUUGAUCGCGUCGGAAGUGUAAUCUUGGGGCUUAACCCUGAGCGUGCUUUCGAUACGGGUUGACUUGAGGAAGGUAGGGGAGAAUGGAAUUCCUGGUGGAGCGGUGGAAUGCGCAGAUAUCAGGAGGAACACCAGUGGCGAAGGCGGUUCUCUGGGCCUUUCCUGACGCUGAGGAGCGAAAGCGUGGGGAGCGAACAGGCUUAGAUACCCUGGUAGUCCACGCUGUAAACGGUGGGUACUAGGUGUGGGGUCCAUUCCACGGGUUCCGUGCCGUAGCUAACGCUUUAAGUACCCCGCCUGGGGAGUACGGCCGCAAGGCUAAAACUCAAAGGAAUUGACGGGGCCCCGCACAAGCGGCGGAGCAUGCGGAUUAAUUCGAUGCAACGCGUAGAACCUUACCUGGGUUUGACAUGGAUCGGGAGCGCUCAGAGAUGGGUGUGCCUCUUUUGGGGUCGGUUCACAGGUGGUGCAUGGCUGUCGUCAGCUCGUGUCGUGAGAUGUUGGGUUAAGUCCCGCAACGAGCGCAACCCUUGUUCACUGUUGCCAGCACGUUAUGGUGGGGACUCAGUGGAGACCGCCGGGGUCAACUCGGAGGAAGGUGGGGAUGACGUCAAGUCAUCAUGCCCCUUAUGUCCAGGGCUUCACGCAUGCUACAAUGGCUGGUACAGAGAGUGGCGAGCCUGUGAGGGUGAGCGAAUCUCGGAAAGCCGGUCUCGGUUCGGAUUGGGGUCUGCAACUCGACCUCAUGAAGUCGGAGUCGCUAGUAAUCGCAGAUCAGCAACGCUGCGGUGAAUACGUUCCCGGG